Long non-coding RNA from Macrobrachium nipponense, 705 nucleotides. RefSeq lists it as uncharacterized. The transcript has 3 exons. NCBI's taxonomy places the organism in Eukaryota, Metazoa, Arthropoda, Malacostraca, Decapoda, Palaemonidae. The record is from RefSeq and is a predicted model, not a curated record.
GACAUCACUCUCCGCCGACGAAUCCCACGAUGAAGGUGUUCGCAGUUCUGAUGCUUGCAGCUGGAGCCAGCGCGCUGGCAGCUCCAUCCAGGAGCCCGUUUGGGUACUCUUCUGUAUCCAGUUAUCAGUCACCUACGAGUUAUUCCCCUCCGUCUUAUUUCGUUCCCGAAUCGACCUACGUCUCUCCUCGGGCGUACAGACCGACGCCCUUCUAUGAGAGACCGGCGCCCUACAACUUCGACUGGGUGGUCAAGGACUACUCGGGCAAUGAUUACGGCCACCACGAACGGACAGACGGCCAGACCACCUACGGGGCUUACUACGUCCAGCUCCCGGACGGCCGCAGGCAGAAGGUGACCUACACUGUCAACGGCGACUCUGGCUACGUGGCCGAGGUGACCUACGAAGGCGAGGCUAAAUACCCCCAAACCGCAGCCGCCGUCCAGUCGACCGUCUUCCAGCCCAGUUAUGUCUACACUUAUGGGUAGAUUGUCUCUGGGGUAACUUCCUAAGGGGACUGGUGAAGUGGUGAAGCUUCUUCUAGUCUCGUCCAAAGUCCUGCCUGCCUGCCUGCUUGCCUGCCCAAUGCUCACGUCAUCCGAACUGACUCGCCUUUAUCCUGUUAUAAACGAAUGGCUCCUUUUUUUUCUCUUUUUUUUAUUAGAUUAUUUAUUCUUGAUAAUAACGACGUUUUCUGAAAUGCGA